ACACAUGCAAGUCGAGGGGCAGCAUGGUCUUAGCUUGCUAAGGCCGAUGGCGACCGGCGCACGGGUGAGUAACACGUAUCCAACCUGCCGUCUACUCUUGGACAGCCUUCUGAAAGGAAGAUUAAUACAAGAUGGCAUCAUGAGUCCGCAUGUUCACAUGAUUAAAGGUAUUCCGGUAGACGAUGGGGAUGCGUUCCAUUAGAUAGUAGGCGGGGUAACGGCCCACCUAGUCUUCGAUGGAUAGGGGUUCUGAGAGGAAGGUCCCCCACAUUGGAACUGAGACACGGUCCAAACUCCUACGGGAGGCAGCAGUGAGGAAUAUUGGUCAAUGGGCGCAGGCCUGAACCAGCCAAGUAGCGUGAAGGAUGACUGCCCUAUGGGUUGUAAACUUCUUUUAUAAAGGAAUAAAGUCGGGUAUGUAUACCCGUUUGCAUGUACUUUAUGAAUAAGGAUCGGCUAACUCCGUGCCAGCAGCCGCGGUAAUACGGAGGAUCCGAGCGUUAUCCGGAUUUAUUGGGUUUAAAGGGAGCGUAGAUGGAUGUUUAAGUCAGUUGUGAAAGUUUGCGGCUCAACCGUAAAAUUGCAGUUGAUACUGGAUAUCUUGAGUGCAGUUGAGGCAGGCGGAAUUCGUGGUGUAGCGGUGAAAUGCUUAGAUAUCACGAAGAACUCCGAUUGCGAAGGCAGCCUGCUA
Molecule: ribosomal RNA, 691 nt
Filed under: uncultured bacterium
Lineage: Bacteria
Description: bacterial SSU rRNA
Rfam family: Bacterial small subunit ribosomal RNA
Source: RNAcentral